GACGACCAAAAGAACUUUGUUGCAUUCGGUGGUGUUGGAGGCUUCGCUGGAGUAGGCGGAGGUCUUGGCACCGGUCUUGGGGGUGGACUCGGUGGGCUUGGUGGGCUUGGUGGUCUCGGUGGUGGUGGACUCGGUGGGCUCGGUGGACUCGGUGGUGGAUCUGGGUUAGGCGGAGGUGGAGGUUUGGGUGGUGGAGUUGGUGGUCUCGGGGGCGCUGGUGGCCUUGGCGGUGGAUGUGGAAGCUGUCCUUGAUCUCUUUUCGAGCUUUCUUUUGUUGUCAGUAUGAAUGUCGUUUUAGUUUAAUCAGUUGUGUUUGAGGAUGUGUUUCUUAAUUUUUACAAAUCAUAUGUUUGGGAGUGUCUACUACGUUUUGUACGUACAAUAGUUUUCUUUUUAAAGUCAGUAAUAAUUCAUUCUUCCGUUGUAUUAACGUUUCGUUGUGACGGAUUUUAGUCGUGAAUGCUACAACCGCUCCGUUUCUGAAAUACAAAUAAAAAUUAUGAGUAAUUGAGUUAUAUAUAAAAUAACCAAUUAGUGCAAUUUAUAAUCCAAAA
This 554-nucleotide long non-coding RNA is filed under the name Carica papaya (papaya). RNAcentral describes it as "long non-coding RNA (CPAP_LNC012122)". Lineage: Eukaryota; Viridiplantae; Streptophyta; Magnoliopsida; Brassicales; Caricaceae. The record is from RNAcentral.